Uloborus diversus is the source of this 506-nucleotide long non-coding RNA. RefSeq lists it as uncharacterized. The record is from RefSeq and is a predicted model, not a curated record. The transcript is spliced from 4 exons. Lineage: Eukaryota; Metazoa; Arthropoda; Arachnida; Araneae; Uloboridae.
CGGCGAGCUACCGAGGGAGGUUCCGGAGGAGUAAAGACCGGCGUCGCGGCGACUGGAUCUCGCUAAGACCUACGACGUAACUCAAGAGCAGACGAAUUUUUGCUCUCUGCGCAAGUGCGAAUCAUUAAGCUCUUGUUAAAAAUUACUAUGCUACCAAAAGCAAUAAUGUAAAAUUUCGAGCAAGUGUUAACUAAUGAAAGCAUGCAAGUACCAGAUUUGGCUCCUCCCAUUCAAAUGAAAUCCAACCAAUCCGAUUCGGAAAUCUGUUUCCUAAACAUCUCAGAGCACAGCCGGUUCGAUAACCCUAUUGUUGUUUUUAUGCGCAUCAAGACUUUAUGGAUGAAGCAGCUAAGCCAAAUGUAUUCAUCUCUUAUUUGAAUACUCUUAGACGAUAUAAGUGGGUUAUAAUCUUUCCAACUGUUUCGUUUUAUUUGAUUUACAAAGACUACACCCGAACUCUCAAAUACAAAGCACAGAAAGCACAAGCUUACUAACCUAAAGCAUUU